AUUGAACGCUGGCGGCAUGCCUUACACAUGCAAGUCGAACGGCAGCACGGGUGCUUGCACCUGGUGGCGAGUGGCGAACGGGUGAGUAAUACAUCGGAACAUGUCCUGUAGUGGGGGAUAGCCCGGCGAAAGCCGGAUUAAUACCGCAUACGAACUACGGAUGAAAGCGGGGGACCUUCGGGCCUCGCGCUAUAGGGUUGGCCGAUGGCUGAUUAGCUAGUUGGUGGGGUAAAGGCCUACCAAGGCGACGAUCAGUAGCUGGUCUGAGAGGACGACCAGCCACACUGGGGCUGAGACACGGCCCAGACUCCGACGGGAGGCAGCAGUGGGGAAUUUUGGACAAUGGGCGAAAGCCUGAUCCAGGAACGCCGCGUGUGUGAAGAAGGCCUGCGGGUUGUAAAGCACUUUUGUCCGGAAAGAAAUCCUUGGCCCUAAUACGGUCGGGGGAUGACGGUACCGGAAGAAUAAGCACCGGCUAACUACGU
Molecule: ribosomal RNA, 485 nt
Filed under: uncultured bacterium
Lineage: Bacteria
Description: partial 16S ribosomal RNA
Rfam family: Bacterial small subunit ribosomal RNA
Source: RNAcentral